RNAcentral lists this ribosomal RNA (485 nucleotides) under Pontibacter sp. Br27. RNAcentral's name for it is "bacterial SSU rRNA". It matches the Rfam family "Bacterial small subunit ribosomal RNA", at positions 67 to 549 of the family's 1533-position model. The record is from RNAcentral. Lineage: Bacteria; Pseudomonadati; Bacteroidota; Cytophagia; Cytophagales; Hymenobacteraceae.
CGAGCUUGAGGACUUCGGUUCUCAGGUUAGUGGCGCACGGGUGCGUAACGCGUAUGCAACCUACCUCUCACUGGGGGAUAGCCCGAGGAAACUCGGAUUAAUACCGCAUAAGAUAGCUGACCUGGCAUCAGGUUGUUAUUAAAGCUUUGGCGGUGGGAGAUGGGCAUGCGUGCCAUUAGCUAGUUGGUAGUGUAACGGACUACCAAGGCUUCGAUGGCUAGGGGCUCUGAGAGGACGGUCCCCCACACUGGUACUGAGACACGGACCAGACUCCUACGGGAGGCAGCAGUAGGGAAUAUUGGGCAAUGGCCGCGAGGCUGACCCAGCCAUGCCGCGUGCAGGAUGAAGGCCUUCUGGGUUGUAAACUGCUUUUAUCAGGGAAGAAAACGCUCCUGCGGGAGUAACUGACGGUACCUGAUGAAUAAGCACCGGCUAACUCCGUGCCAGCAGCCGCGGUAAUACGGAGGGUGCAAGCGUUGUCCGGA